RNAcentral lists this long non-coding RNA (1683 nucleotides) under Olea europaea subsp. europaea. The record is from RNAcentral. Lineage: Eukaryota; Viridiplantae; Streptophyta; Magnoliopsida; Lamiales; Oleaceae.
GAAUACCUAUGUGGCAGUUAACUCGGUCGAAAAAUUAAAAUCAAAUGCCAGUGCAUGAAAUUGCAAAUCCAAAACACGCCUCAGCCAAAUAAAAUCAUAAUAUGCCUUCUUCAUUCACAACGCCAAAGCUUGAAACUUCAAAUCCUUCUAAACCCUAACCCCAAAUCGAUUCUGCCCCCACAAUUGAGGCCCCACUCAACAGACCACAAAGCUUGGAUUUUUGAAGCUGUGCACAUGGAGGUAAUUCCCAAACCUUUUUUUCUUCGUCUUUUCUGAGUUUUUGCUUUCCUGAGCGCAAAAAUCCACAAGAUCAAAUCAACCGAUGCUUUCAUUUUGUGUAUUGUACUUAUAGCCUCUUCCCCUAGUGAAUUGAAUUCAAUGCCAAAGAUGAUACGAUAUGAAUUUCUCAAAAAGAUAAAGGUUGUGGGAUUGCCUGUGUAGCAAUAGACCUUUUUAUUUUUAUUUCAAAAUAAACCCAGUUUCGAGGAUGAGACACUCAGGAAUCUAUGAUGGAAUGCUUGUAUGUAUAUUUGGUGGUUUAAAAAUAUUUUUAGAGUUUUGAUUUUACUUUGCUUCCAUAAAAAGAAGGAUUUUAGGUUCUUCCCGGAUACUUGUGAUUUUUUUGCCAUUCUCUGCUGUUGCUGUUGAGAAAUGAAGUUUGUAAUGUAUCAUUUGUUUGCCUUAUCCACACAAUGCUCAUCAAAGUUGCAACAAGUACCUAUUGACUAAUGUUUUUGGAGAAUAUGAGUUUUGAGUUCGAUUAUUUGUUGUGAGCUAUACUUGGAAGAUACGUAUUAUAAAUGGUGUCAACCCAUAUGAGAAGUAUUCCAUUUGUUAAAUCUAAUUGAAUUUGUAACAGUCUUAAUGGAACGAAUAACUGAAGGAGUAGUGCUUUAAAUUUUUGCAAUGGCAUAUACUGGAGCUUGAUUGAAUUUAAGGAAAUGAGAGGUUUUUUUGAAGUGGGAAAGCACACGAUUGAUAUGCGCUGCAACACAUUGAAUAAACAUUUCCACCCUCAGAUAAAAAUGGUGCCGGAUAGAGGGAAUGGAGCAUCAUCGAGCCAACCACAUGAAGAACAACAAAGUUUCCAGUUCAUGCCCACCUCCGAUGUGGGGCUGCAAUCUGAAACAGUUGUUAUAAGUAGUGGGCCAGCAACUUCCACGCAUAUGGAUGAGAGUAAUGAUGGAGGACAAUCUUUUGAAGCUCAGGUGGCGACUGAGCAAACUGGGAUCUUUAACGUUUUGUAAAACUGAAAUGGGGGCUUUAGCUUUGGGAUAUGACACGUUUGAUUGUGCUUUUGGUUGUUUUAUUUGGUGUUCCUGUUUAACUAGGAAAAAAAAUUCUGUUUUGCUUAUGAACAACAGCUAUGUUUAUUUUGGCUUUAAUCAAAAUGAAGUCUAUUUCAGAAAUAGGUAAGGCGUAAUGCAUUGAAUUUGAAUAUGCUUUAAAAUAGUUGAAUAUUAAUCAAAGUUAAUCUGCUUUCUUUUUCAGAUUUUUGAAGAAUGUCCUGCUGUAGUAAGCUUAGCCACUCUCAAAUGCCUGAAUUUUCAUUGAUUCAGUUCAAGAUGUUUUAAAGCCAUAUUCAGUACCAGAGUGAAAUUGUAUAUAAAAUUCAUUGUGGAAAUUACUUUUUCAAAUUUUUACAUGUAAUUUAUCACUGCAACUUAUAGUUUAUCCAACAAC